Molecule: ribosomal RNA, 246 nt
Filed under: uncultured bacterium
Lineage: Bacteria
Description: partial 16S ribosomal RNA
Rfam family: Bacterial small subunit ribosomal RNA
Source: RNAcentral
AUACGUAGGGGGCUAGCGUUAUCCGGAUUUACUGGGCGUAAAGGGUGCGUAGGUGGUUUCUUAAGUCAGGAGUGAAAGGCUACGGCUUAACCGUAGUAAGCUCUUGAAACUGGGAAGCUUGAGUGCAGGAGAGGUAAGUGGAAUUCCUAGUGUAGAGGUGAAAUUCGUAGAUACUAGGAGGAACACCAGUGGCGAAGGCGACUUACUGGACUGUAACUGACACUGAGGCACGAAAGCGUGGGUAGC